RNAcentral lists this ribosomal RNA (499 nucleotides) under uncultured bacterium. RNAcentral's name for it is "partial 16S ribosomal RNA". It matches the Rfam family "Bacterial small subunit ribosomal RNA", at positions 28 to 507 of the family's 1533-position model. The record is from RNAcentral.
GACGAACGCUGGCGGCGUGCCUAAUACAUGCAAGUCGAGCGGACUUUCAAGAAGCUUGCUUUUUGAAAGUUAGCGGCGGACGGGUGAGUAACACGUGGGCAACCUGCCUGCAAGACGGGGAUAACUCCGGGAAACCGGGGCUAAUACCGGAUAAUAUCUUCCUUCGCAUGAAGGAAGGUUGAAAGGCGGCGCAAGCUGCCGCUUGCAGAUGGGCCCGCGGCGCAUUAGCUAGUUGGUGAGGUAACGGCUCACCAAGGCGACGAUGCGUAGCCGACCUGAGAGGGUGAUCGGCCACACUGGGACUGAGACACGGCCCAGACUCCUACGGGAGGCAGCAGUAGGGAAUCUUCCGCAAUGGACGAAAGUCUGACGGAGCAACGCCGCGGGAGCGAAGAAGGGCUUCGGAUCGGAAAGCUCUGUUGUCAGGGAAGAACAAGUACCGUUCGAACAGGGCGGUACCUUGACGGUACCUGACCAGAAAGCCACGGCUAACUACGUG